This is a long non-coding RNA of Perca fluviatilis (European perch), 940 nucleotides long. RefSeq lists it as uncharacterized. The transcript has 2 exons. The record is from RefSeq and is a predicted model, not a curated record. Lineage: Eukaryota; Metazoa; Chordata; Actinopteri; Perciformes; Percidae.
GUUUCCUCAAAUCAAUUAUUUAAAUGCUUUUUUAGAUUGUUUUGUCAAUUGCUGUUUCCAUGGUCAUGAAGACACUAUUGAUCUCAAAAUGUCUUUUACAUCAACAUGGUCAAAAAAAAGGAAAUUAGGCAACUCCAUCUGCUGAGGAAGAUCGAGGGCGAAAAGCUCCAGGACUGAUAAUGAGAGGACCUUCUGGAAUGCAGAUAAAUCCCAUCUUCCAGCCGGAGGAGAGGAGCAGGGAGUUUUUCUUUCGUUUGGACCCCAGUUGGAUGAGAUGUGAAUGGAACCGGUGACCCAGUUUGUCCUGAUUGACGGAGCAGAUUUUCUCCCUGAGCUCUCCUCUGCUGACUCAGUGUCUGUCCUCCACAUGUCUAACAAAACAUCCGCACAUCAUUUUAUAAUUCGGUAUCCUCCUUACGUAAUAUGUGACCCAUUUUUACUUCUGUUGGCUCUGCUCACGGCUGACAGUUGGUUGGCACCGACCAUCUCUUCUGUUUCUUUUUAAAUUUUGGCAACUAGGCCCCUCUGGCUUUCAGAUGUCUUCUGCACAGGGCUAACUGCUGCAGGUCUCCACAUAAGAAGACUUUCAGUGACCUUCAUGGUUCACUUCGGACCCAUUUAUUAUGAGUCAGCGUUACUGGAAAGAACCAUGGGCUAAGUUGAUUUUGCCUUUUCGGGAAACUCUUGGAGAUUUUCCUCUAACUGCCACUGUUGUACCACACAAACUAUCCAUAAAUCAGCAUUGUCAGCUCUCAAAGUAUUCUCUGACUCAUAUGUUUUGUCAGAAAGUGCAGCGCUGGAGCCCAAAGAUACCAAACUGAAUGCCAAAAAUGUUCUGCUUGUUAUCGUUGCCAUAGUUAACUGAACUUUGAUUAAGAGUUACUUCAGUUAUAUGCUUUUUUUUGCACCUAUGUUUGCAUAAAAUAUGUGAUUUUUUGUG